UGGGGAAUAUUGGGCAAUGGGCGCAAGCCUGACCCAGCGACGCCGCGUGAGGGAAGACAGCCUUCGGGUUGUAAACCUCUGUUGCAGGGGAAGAAGGACGUGACGGUACCCUGCGAGGAAGCUCCGGCUAACUACGUGCCAGCAGCCGCGGUAAUACGUAGGGAGCGAGCGUUGUCCGGAAUUACUGGGCGUAAAGGGCGCGUAGGCGGCGCUUCAAGUCGUCUGUCAAAAGCCGAGGCUCAACCUCGGUGCGCAGACGAAACUGGAGAGCUUGAGAAGCAGAGAGGCAAACAGAAUUCCUGGUGUAGCGGUGAAAUGCGUAGAUAUCAGGAAGAAUACCAGUGGCGAAGGCGGUUUGCUGGCUGCAUACUGACGCUGAAGCGCGAAAGCCAGGGGAGCAAACGGGAUUAGAUACCCCGAUAGUCCUGGCAGUAAACGAUGUAUGCUGGGUGUGGGACUAGCGAUAGUUCCGUGCCGAAGUUAACGCGAUAAGCAUACCGCCUGGGGAGUACGGUCGCAAGAUU
RNAcentral lists this ribosomal RNA (524 nucleotides) under uncultured bacterium. RNAcentral describes it as "bacterial SSU rRNA". It matches the Rfam family "Bacterial small subunit ribosomal RNA", at positions 355 to 895 of the family's 1533-position model. The record is from RNAcentral.